Molecule: unclassified non-coding RNA, 161 nt
Filed under: uncultured fungus
Lineage: Eukaryota; Fungi
Description: sequence contains ITS1, 5.8S rRNA gene
Source: RNAcentral
CAGAGUUGCAAAACUCCCUAAACCCAUGUGAACAUUACCUGAAGUUUGUUGCUUUGGCAGGCGGCCCCAGGGCGGGGCCUGUCGCUUCUUACGAGGCGGCCUGCCAGAGGACCGAAGACUCUGUCAAUUAUACUACUCUGAGUAAAAAUCUAAAUCAGUCA